Molecule: ribosomal RNA, 494 nt
Filed under: uncultured bacterium
Lineage: Bacteria
Description: partial 16S ribosomal RNA
Rfam family: Bacterial small subunit ribosomal RNA
Source: RNAcentral
GACGAACGCUGGCGGCGUGCUUAACACAUGCAAGUCGAACGGUGAAGCGCCUUCCUUUUUGGUGGGUGUGGAUGAGUGGCGAACGGGUGAGUAACACGUGAGUAACCUGCCCCCUUCUUCUGGAUAACCGCAUGAAAGUGUGGCUAAUACGGGAUAUUCUGGGUCUGUCGCAUGAUGGGUCUGGGAAAGAUGUUGUUUCGGUGGGGGAGGGGCUCGCGGCCUAUCAGCUUGUUGGUGGGGUGAUGGGCUACCAAGGCUGGGACGGGUGGCCGGCCUGAGCGGGUGGACGGUCACAGUGGGAGUGCGGCACCGCCCAGACUGCGACAGGGGGCAGCAGUGGGGGAUAUUGAGCAAUGGGGAAAAGCGUGAUGCAGCGACGCCGCGUGAGGGAUGGCGGCCUUCGGGUUAUGAACCUCUUUCGCCAGUGAAGCAGGCCUGCCUCGUUUGUGGGUGGGUUGACGGUAGCUGGAAAAGAAGCGCCGGCUAACUACGUG